CCCGAAAUAGCCUUCAGCGCCCGCCAGCGAGGAGGGUACUCGGGCCAGCCGCACAGUUCCGGGAGCCGAAAGCAGAGUCCAGACGCUGCCACUUGCCGGAGACGGAGAGGAAGACGGAGAGCGCCGAGCCGGGAGCCGAUCGGCACAGCCGUCCACGCGUGCCCACCGGCGCCGCGCGCGCCCUCUUCGCUUCCGCGCCGCCCCCGCCAGGUGGAGGGGUGGGGGCGGUCGGGACAGGCGCGAGUUUGGAGGAAGCCGCCGCGGAAGGGGUUUCCCGCCCGGGCUAGCGUAGUGCUGGCAUCCAGAGGCGGAACAGCGGAGCUCCCGCCCGGCUGAGCGGGCCGCAGCUGCGGCAGGGGAGCCCAGGCUGGGCGGCCGGGAUCCCGGGGUUCGCGCGGGGAUGCGCGCCGAGGAGGCGAGAGCUGGCUGAGGAGGACGACGACGACGACGACGAGGAGGAGGGCGAAGCGGCGAGCGCCGGGCGCAGGCGGACGGGCUGCCUGCCGGCGAGGAAGGCUGUGUGUGGUCACGUUGUGCGCUACGUGUUGGGAGCGCGAGCUGCUAGCCGCAGCCGGCGACGUCAAAGCCGGGGUGCGCGGCUCGGCUCCUUCCUCCGGCUUCUCUGCCUCUUCUGCUCCUCCUCCUCGCUGCCUUCCAGAGCGGGCCCCGGAGCUCAUCAGUAUGGACGGCGCCGAGAGGCUCCGCGCGGCCGGCGGCAUCCGGCCUCCAGCCUCCCCGGCCGAGCCCUUCCCGCUCCCCGGAGCUCCGCGGGGACCCGGGCCGCUUAUAUACCUGCUGUUGGCGUUUGCAAGCCGAGGGCCAGCUACCACCUAGACUUGCGGAUGAAGAAUCUGUGCCACCGGGCUGAGGGAUCUGCGCUGGAGCCAGGAAGUGACGCUCAAGGUGAAGACCAGAGCUCCCCUGAAGAGAACAGCAGCCUUCCCUGGCUGGCGACAGCAAGAAUAGCUGAGUUCAUAUCAGGAAAACCAGACAACAGCAAACUUCUCCAGGAAAAUCAACAGCAUACCAUCUUUCCUUCUUGUUCUCCUUAUGUGUCAUUUUGGCAAAAAUCCUCAGGGUUGUCCAAGUAAGGCAUGGAUUACAGAAAUAGAUGAAUGGAGCCUUCCAUUAAUGUUGAUGUCACUGAGAAAUACUCUCAAACCUACACGAUGAACAAGUUGACUACUUAGUGUCCUCAUUGGAAAGCUUUUUAAUUUAAGAGGUUUGAAGUUAAAACAUAAUUCUCAUACUAUGCAUUUCCUACUACAAUUUAUCAUUUAUCAAUAUUCAAUUACCACAUGACCUUUAAGGGAAUCCAUGCAUCAGAGCUAUACUUUAUCACUCAGAAACCUUAAAAUUAAUAACAAAACUUGGGUUUUGAAUUUAAUUAAAUUAUAUAAUUUGUGGGUUUUGAUUCUGCUUAGGGAAUAAUGUUUGAAACCCCGUGAAUAUGUAUGUAUGUAUGUAUGUAUGUAUGUAUGUAUGUAUGUAUUUGGGAUUGGGGACCAAACUAAGGAAAUCCAGACAAGCAUUCUAGUAUUAAGCUACCCCAUGGUUCUAUACUCCACAAUUCUAAAAAUUAAGAUUAUUCUAUUCUUAGCACUUUUACUGAGUUUCUGAAUGACUUACUUUUACUCAAAUAUUUUCCCCAGUUGUCCAAAAAAUUGUGAAAGAGAAAGGCAAUAAUUCUUGUAAAGGGCUGGGGAUGUAGCUCAGUGGCAUUGUGUCUGCCUGGCAAGCACAAGGUCCUGAGUUCAAUUCCCAGUACCGAAAAAAAAAAAAUCCUUUGGGCCGGGGAUUUAGCUCAGUGGUAUCGCAGCCUGCUGCGCAAGCACAAGGGCUGAAGUUCGAUCC
This 1854-nucleotide long non-coding RNA is filed under the name Heterocephalus glaber (naked mole-rat). RNAcentral's name for it is "lncRNA (ENSHGLG00100034874.1)". The record is from RNAcentral. Lineage: Eukaryota; Metazoa; Chordata; Mammalia; Rodentia; Bathyergidae.